UACGAAGGGAGCUAGCGUUGUUCGGAAUUACUGGGCGUAAAGCGCAUGCAGGCGGAUCGUUAAGUCGGGGGUGAAAUCCCGAGGCUCAACCUCGGAACUGCCCUCGAUACUGGCGAUCUUGAGUCCGGGAGAGGUGAGUGGAACUGCGAGUGUAGAGGUGAAAUUCGUAGAUAUUCGCAAGAACACCAGUGGCGAAGGCGGCUCACUGGCCCGGUACUGACGCUGAGAUGCGAAAGCGUGGGGAGCAAACAGG
Molecule: ribosomal RNA, 253 nt
Filed under: uncultured bacterium
Lineage: Bacteria
Description: partial 16S ribosomal RNA
Rfam family: Bacterial small subunit ribosomal RNA
Source: RNAcentral